AUGGGGGUGAAGGGGUCCCUGGGGGACUCCGUGGGGUUUGGGAUGCUUGAAGGACGCGGCAGGGUCUCGGUCCUUGAGUGCGUGGAGGGGGGACCCAGCAGGUCUGGGAACUUCUGCGGGGUUGGGGGACCUUGCAGGGCCGGGGUCCCUGGAGGAUCACAGGGUCUGGGGGCGAUAAAGGGGAUCCUGCUGUCGGCACCCCCUGGAAGCAGCAGCCGCAAUGGGGCCGGGCCCCUUCCCCAACUGAGCCUCACACCGGGGCUCGAGUGCUGGCAUUCAAACCUGAGGGGGCUGGGGGUCACCCCACACCCACCAGCCCCAGGUGGCGGCUUGAGCUUUGGACUGUGCGUCCUGGGAGGGCUGGGAGCAAAGAGGACCGGUCCUUGCCGUGACAUUGACCCUACGUGGAUCCCGCUGGGCUCAGCAGGACGCCUGGGACCGCUCUGCUUGCCAUCAGGCGGACGAUGCUCAGAGCUGGAAGCACGGGGACACGUUGAGCAAGCGUCCUUCGGGCACCCCAAUGUCACCCUGCAGCGGAGCGCGUCCUUGUGGGCUCAGGGCCGGAGCAGAAGGCUUCUACGGGACCGCUGUCCCCCCCCUGCCCUGAGCCGGCCUUGGGACGGGGGGUUUGGGCACAGCAGCAUCGUCCCCGUGCCGCCGGGAGCGCUGCCAGCCGCAGACCGGGGCUUUGCUUCUCCGCACCGCGCUUCCGUCCGCAGCGGCUUUCCUCGGAGGCUGCACCAAUCCUUUCGGUGCAACGGUUCCUCCCCGCACUCUGCUCUCGGUACAAUCCCAGCCUCCUCCCACCAUCUUCCCUCGAGGUCUUUGGACGGAUCGUUAAAUUCGUUUCCCUUUGUAGGGAAAACACGACCCCGCGGGAUGCUCGUGCCCGAGCUCAGCUCUGCUUUCCCCGCUGAAUCCCCGUGGGCCGGGCGCAGGCAGCGCCGUGGGAGGGGACACGCGUGGGGCCGCGGGUACCGCUGCGGAGCGACGACAGCAGAGGGCACUGCAGCCCGACGGAGCCCGGCGUGGGGCUGGGGGGGAGAUGUGGGGCUGAUGUGGGGCUGGGGGGGGUAUGAUACAGGGGGUUGAGACGUGGGGUGGUGUCGCGGUGUGCCCACGGGAUGUCCCCUCGGGGACCCUACCUGUCUUGGUGCCCCUUUCCUCUCGGGACACCCCCAUCUCCUCGCCCUCCAUCGCUGACUCCAUUAAAAGCCAAUUAGCCCCAAUCAACCCGAGCAGGUUGGAAUUGCCCCCUUCAUCCCCGAUUGGCCCCUCCGAGCACCUGAGCCCAGCCCAUGGGAUAUUGGGGGAGGGGGAGGGGACACCACCGUGUGUUCUCAGCCUCAUUUUCCAGCAUCC
RNAcentral lists this long non-coding RNA (1362 nucleotides) under Numida meleagris (helmeted guineafowl). RNAcentral's name for it is "lncRNA (ENSNMEG00000004478.1)". The record is from RNAcentral. Lineage: Eukaryota; Metazoa; Chordata; Aves; Galliformes; Numididae.